This 1329-nucleotide unclassified non-coding RNA is filed under the name Hevea brasiliensis (rubber tree). Lineage: Eukaryota; Viridiplantae; Streptophyta; Magnoliopsida; Malpighiales; Euphorbiaceae. The record is from RNAcentral.
GUUUGGUUUAACUGAUUUUUUUCUCUUCAAAACCGAACCGAACCGAAAUAACCGAAAAUUUUAUAAAUUAAAACCGAACCGAACCGAUUAACUUUUAAAACCGAACCGAUUGAACCAAAUUGACUCAAUUCAGUUCAGUUUUUGGUUCAGACAGAAAACUGCUCACCCCUAAACUGAACCUUCCAUGAUUAUUAAGCAUCAUCUUAGCCUUAACAGAAGUUUCACAAAAUCUUAAUGUCUCUUGUCUUGCUACAGCUGAUUAAGAAAUAUCAGCCAAAAUUUUGGCAGUCUCUUUUCUUCAGUUUGGUUGCAGGAUUCUGUUGUUGCAGUCUAACAAAGAGUUUUUGGGAGUUAACAAUUUCUUGAUGAAUAUAAAACAUAGUGACAUGAGACAAAAGUCCAGAGCAUGAUAUGCUGAAGUCUCAUCCACUGAUCAGACUAUGAUGUAGCAUCCUGAUUCAGACAUAAGUACAGACUGCACAGAAAUUGCACUAUAUCCACAAUUAAGAAUAUAACAAAAUUAACAACUCCAAACACAUUCAAGCUCACAUGCAAUACCCAUGAUUUUAAGAGAUUACAAUAUUACCAUAGCAAAUACAAUUACUGUAGAUAUUCCUUUCAAAAUCACCACAAGAGCACUUUCACGUACACAUGAUGGGUAGUCCACUUUGAAAGUAACCAACUAUUGUUUCACAACCUUGAGGAAAACAAGUUACAUUAAUUUACACUUGGAAGUCAACUUUGCAGCAAUAUUAAACCUUUUCUCUCAAAUUACUUCUAAAACACACCUAUCAUAUUAUGAUGGAUGAAUAUUUUGGCACUUCUAACGAACCCUUAGUAAUUGUUCACUCAAAGAGUUCAUGCCUUAGUUUAACAAAAUGUUUUUGAGGCUUCCUUCAUAUUGUCAUACAUUCAUGUUGCAGCUUGCACUGAUAUAAUUAACAAGCUAAUCGAAAGCUUGUGAAGAAUACUUCUAGAACUAUUAUCAGUAUUUCGAAAAGUUGCCUCUUUCACUGGAAUUUUUUUUUUAAUUACCAAAGAAAUUAAGAUAAACUGAAGGGCUAUAAAGUAAUUACAACAAUGACAUGACAAUAAGAGAUGCAAAUCACAAAUCAAAUAUCAUGAAUCAGAACAUUCAUUCAAAUGCAAUCUGAGGAUGACAAGACUGUGAAACACUUGAAUGCCAAAUGAAUUUCAAAAUUUUAAGAUAUGUAGAACCGAUCAAAUAAUCAAAGACAAUUUUUACCAACAUCUGAUAAUCUCAAAAAAAAGGGCAUAUAUCAAUUUAAAUAAACUUUCACCAUAAGGUCGCCUCGAACUCCAGCUUCU